RNAcentral lists this signal recognition particle RNA (263 nucleotides) under Candidatus Cloacimonadota bacterium. Its description in RNAcentral is "signal recognition particle sRNA large type". It matches the Rfam family "Bacterial large signal recognition particle RNA". Rfam says of the family: The signal recognition particle (SRP) is a universally conserved ribonucleoprotein involved in the co-translational targeting of proteins to membranes. Archaeal SRP consists of a 7S RNA and homologues of the eukaryotic SRP19 and SRP54 proteins. Lineage: Bacteria; Pseudomonadati; Candidatus Cloacimonadota. The record is from RNAcentral.
GUGUGCUAGGUGGGGAAUUAGCGGAGCCCUGUAACUCGCAACCCGCUCCAGCGAGGCUGAAUUCCUGCACGAGAAUGCUGAUUUUCUUUUUUUGAACUGAAAAGUAGUAUUGAUAAUCAAGCCCUACGCAAUUGUAAACUGUGAACCUUGUCAGAUUCGGAAGGAAGCAGCAAUAAGCAGAAUUUACGAUGUGCCGCAGGUCAACUUGGUUUGAGCUAACUAUCAUUAAAUAUUAGAAAUAGGUAUCGAAUGCAGGUGCACAC